UGGGGAAUUUUGGACAAUGGGCGAAAGCCUGAUCCAGCAAUGCCGCGUGUGUGAAGAGGGCCUUCGGGUUGUAAAGCACUUUUGUCCGGAAAGAAAUCCUUGGCUCUAAUACAGUCGGGGGAUGACGGUACCGGAAGAAUAAGCACCGGCUAACUACGUGCCAGCAGCCGCGGUAAUACGUAGGGUGCAAGCGUUAAUCGGAAUUACUGGGCGUAAAGCGUGCGCAGGCGGUUUGCUAAGACCGAUGUGAAAUCCCCGGGCUCAACCUGGGAACUGCAUUGGUGACUGGCAGGCUAGAGUAUGGCAGAGGGGGGUAGAAUUCCACGUGUAGCAGUGAAAUGCGUAGAGAUGUGGAGGAAUACCGAUGGCGAAGGCAGCCCCCUGGGCCAAUACUGACGCUCAUGCACGAAAGCGUGGGGAGCAAAACAGGAUUAGAUACCCUGGUAGUCCACGCCCUAAACGAUGUCAACUAGUUGUUGGGGAUUCAUUUCCUUAGUAACGUAGCUAACGCGUGAAGUUGACCGCCUGGGGAGUACGGUCGCAAGAUUAAAACUCAAAGGAAUUGACGGGGUCAUAGCUGUUUCC
Molecule: ribosomal RNA, 585 nt
Filed under: uncultured bacterium
Lineage: Bacteria
Description: partial 16S ribosomal RNA
Rfam family: Bacterial small subunit ribosomal RNA
Source: RNAcentral